GCACAAGCGGUGGAGCAUGUGGUUUAAUUCGAUGCAACGCGAAGAACCUUACCUACUCUUGACAUCCAGAGAAUUUGCUAGAGAUAGCUUAGUGCCUUCGGGAACUCUGAGACAGGUGCUGCAUGGCUGUCGUCAGCUCGUGUUGUGAAAUGUUGGGUUAAGUCCCGCAACGAGCGCAACCCUUAUCCUUUGUUGCCAGCGAGUAAUGUCGGGAACUCAAAGGAGACUGCCGGUGAUAAACCGGAGGAAGGUGGGGAUGACGUCAAGUCAUCAUGGCCCUUACGAGUAGGGCUACACACGUGCUACAAUGGUUGGUACAACGAGUUGCGAGUCGGUGACGGCGAGCUAAUCUCUUAAAGCCAAUCUCAGUUCGGAUUGUAGGCUGCAACUCGCCUACAUGAAGUCGGAAUCGCUAGUAAUCGCGGAUCAGCACGCCGCGGUGAAUACGUUCCCGGGCCUU
Molecule: ribosomal RNA, 460 nt
Filed under: uncultured Enterobacteriaceae bacterium
Lineage: Bacteria; Pseudomonadati; Pseudomonadota; Gammaproteobacteria; Enterobacterales; Enterobacteriaceae
Description: bacterial SSU rRNA
Rfam family: Bacterial small subunit ribosomal RNA
Source: RNAcentral